AUAGUGCGAAGGAAGAUGAAUCCUUCUUUAGUGCGAAGGAUGCAACCCGGGUCGCACCCGAACGGGGGCUCAGGCUCAGGGCUCUAAACUUUGCUUUCUCUCUGUUGAAGAGGCGGUGAUGAUGAAUGCCGCCGCCGCCGCCGCCUCCACCAUGCCAUUUCUUUUUAAAGCUUUGGUGAGGCUGCUGCUCCGCGGGCAACUGCUGCACCUAUCAUUCUCGUUGAGAAGAUCGCAGAGCCAGAGUGCAGGUAGGAGGGAGCCUCCUCUCUGAUGGAUCUCCGAAGCCCGUCAUUCAUCCGCCUGUACAGAUCUCAAAGCGAGCAGUGGAUGAUUCAACGGAUGGGCGCGAAGGAAGGAUAAUCCUUGUUUCCUGCAAAGGAUGCAACUACGAUCCGGAUCAGGGUCGAUUCUGAGUCCCUCCAUUCCUUGAGAUAAGUCCCUCCUGAUUAAUUUUUUUAUUCUCUAAGAAAUUUUAUUUCUUAUCCUUAACUUUGAAGUGAUUUCUAUACGAUCGGCUUAGUGUUUUGAUUCUAGGGUUUUUACUUUUCCUCAAGGAUUUCUUUAGUUCUGCAUUUUUCCCUAAAAAAAUAGUCAACCACCAUUCCACUCUCAUCCGACUUGCAAAAAACAAAUCUUGGGCGAAAUAAUGUUAUUAAGACUAUUACGAGCUUUUUUAAUUUUAAUAUUUCUAAGAAAUUAAAUUCUCAAAAUAUGAUCCCCAUUCCAAUCGUCGUGGUGCAUGCUGUGUCGGCAGUAAUUUCUCUUGUCGGUACAAUCUCGGCGCCAGUUCCCCAUUCAAUCGGUGUAGCUUCCCCUUUCAUUUUCUAAUCGGUUCGUACCGUAAAAAAGAAGAGACGAGAAAAAGCUGCCAACGAGACCUGACACCUUGUUACCAAAAAAAAAACGAAAAAAAAAUCUGACACCGAUGGGACAUGUCGUGUAUGGCGAGUAAUUGUGGCAUCUUAAAAGCGCUGCCUGCUCCCUCCCGAACAUCGAUGCUAUAAAAUUUACUAAAAAAAAUAAUUCGUAAAAAAAGAUUUAGGUAGCGGCGAGCCCUCUCUGUCUUGUCCACCUCUUAUCUAGUUUUUCUUAAUGUUUAUGCCAUUUGGCUGUUUAACAUAACAUUUAUUUAGAUAUUAUUUUUAAAAUAUUUAUGGUUCAAACAUUAGAUUUUUUUAUUUUUGGGUAAUCAUUGUUAAGCUUUUUUUUUUUUCUCGAAGUAUUGUUAAGCUUCUUCACAAAUCAUACUUGGGCGUAAGAGCACGUACUCUGCACAACCUGCCAGUCAGCAAGUGAAAUGAGAAAUUAAUAAUAUGGAUUUUUGAAAUUAAUCUCCAGCCUAGCCAACAAUUAACCUGCUUCAAUUAGGCUUGAUAAGGCUCAAAUAUAUUAUAUAUUAAAAAAAUUGUAGCGAUAUUUUUUAAAUUUUGAUCUAUUUAGAUUUGUAUGCAAAAAAAAAAAAAAAAAUGAAUCUCAAAAUUUAAUAAAAUUACAAAAAAGCCCAACUUUCUGUCUCCAUUAGAUAAUGUUAUGACGUGAGGAAUAUCUGAGAAAUUAAAUUGUAUAAAACAUCAUAAAUAUUGUUCUCAGAAGUUUCUUGAUUUUAGCGCGAAGUGGAGUGGAGGGAAAGAAAUAUCACGUGACUGACUAUGUUCUUCCAUCCUGCGCUUCUUUUCCAUCAGGUCUAUGUGCCGCAUCAGACAUAGUGAAGGAGACGAUGGAGUAAAGAAGAGAGGGGGAGGAUGAUAGAGUGGAGGAAGAAAAAAGAAGAUAGGAUGGAAGAUAAAAAGAAAGAUAAAUUUAAGAUAGAAGAACCUGGAGCCAAUGAAUUUUUUUAGCUUCAGAUUCCUCCCUCCUUGAUCCAUCUCUCACGCACUUUGCAAUCCUUGAUCUUAGGUGUGGCCUUUGGGAGUUCGUGGGAGUGUCCUCGAAUGCCACAGAAAUCAAUAAAAGCUUGGUGUGGCUCUCAUCUCGUGUGGCUUUCUCUCUUUCUCUUUAUUUGUUUCUAUCUUUCUGUGUGCUAUCAAAUACAGCCCACAUCUCGUGUGGCUUUCUCUCUUUUUCUUUAUUUGUUUCUAUCUUUCUGUGUGCUAUCAAAUACAGCCAGGGAAAGGAAAAGAAGAAGAGAUCAAUGAUAAAUAGAGGAGAAGAGGAGACAUGGAGAAAGGAGAGUUGAGCGGGGCACUCUUAGGAAAGGAGUUGGAUGGGGUGGGAUUGGUGAGGACAUGGGGACUCGAAGAAGCUGUGGAGAAUUGUUACGUCGGUCAUUUUUAUAGCAUGAACGUCAUCAUCCAAGCCUUUGCCGGCCACCUUGGUGACCUCGAGUUAGCUGUCAUGUCCAUUGCCAAUACUGUCAUGAGCUUCAACUUUGGCCUUAUGGUUGGGUGGUGGGAGAAGCCUACUCUUAUCCUUCCAGUAGAAUAUAUGAGUGACAAUGCUGCGAUGAGUGAUGAAACGUGGAGGUAGAUUGUGCUACAGCAUCAAGGGUACUGCAAAAGCUCAAUAUUCAUCUAUGCUAGUCAGUUUGUGUUAUGUGAGGAUGAUCAGAAAGGAGUGGGGGCAGAUUCCUUGAUCUGAUGGAAACAUUCUUAUGAGCCACUGAGGAUUGGCCUUUGGCGCGAGCUUGGAUGGUUUGAAGGGCUAAAUCUGGAAAUACUGUUGCAUAGCUUUUCAGCUGCCGGUUCUGCUCCAUAUUGCGUUGCUGGUUGGCUGGUAAUUGAAAAAGUGUGCUGAAGGCAAGCUAUUCUGUGGCUGGAUUAUCUGAAACUUAACAGUGUUGAGGCCAAUGCAUAUAUAUUGGUCCAAUGAUGUAUAAACAUGCAUAUGUGGACCAAUGCUAUACAAAUAUGUUCCAGAAUACACUUGGUAGACCCUCCCCCUCCAAUGGAAGUUUAUUACUUGCGAUGUCCACGUAUGCCUAUUAGUGUGGGAUGCACAUACAAGUUGCAUCACGUAUGUGAAUGUUGUGAGUGAAGGUUUCUAUGCUAUUAGAUCUUUUCCCUUUCCUAUAUCAGAUGAUGUGGGAUUCUUGGAGGGUAUGUUGUUCCAUGGGCAAUUUGUUGCACUUCUUGGGUGCAGAGGAUCAUGCAAUAGUUGAUUAGUUGAUUUUCUGAUUUCAUCAUUUAUGAGAAAUUUAAAGUUCUUUUUU
Elaeis guineensis (African oil palm) is the source of this 3148-nucleotide non-coding RNA. The record is from RefSeq and is a predicted model, not a curated record. Lineage: Eukaryota; Viridiplantae; Streptophyta; Magnoliopsida; Arecales; Arecaceae.